RNA transcript from Pan troglodytes (chimpanzee), 1840 nucleotides. It is a transcript of the gene named mesoderm posterior bHLH transcription factor 1, with no coding region annotated. The transcript has 3 exons. The record is from RefSeq and is a predicted model, not a curated record. Lineage: Eukaryota; Metazoa; Chordata; Mammalia; Primates; Hominidae.
CCCAGACGCGCCGCCGCUGCCAUGGCCCAGCCCCUGUGCCCGCCGCUCUCCGAGUCCUGGAUGCUCUCUGCGGCCUGGGGCCCAACUCGGCGGCCGCCGCCCUCCGACAAGGACUGCGGCCGCUCCCUCGUCUCGUCCCCAGACUCAUGGGGCAGCACCCCAGCCGACAGCCCCGUGCCGAGCCCCGCGCGGCCCGGCACCCGCCGGGACCCCCGCGCCCCCUCCGUAGGUAGGCGCGGCGCGCGCAGCAGCCGCCUGGGCAGCGGGCAGAGGCAGAGCGCCAGUGAGCGGGAGAAACUGCGCAUGCGCACGCUGGCCCGCGCCCUGCACGAGCUGCGCCGCUUUCUACCGCCGUCCGUGGCGCCCACCGGCCAGAGCCUGACCAAGAUCGAGACGCUGCGCCUGGCUAUCCGCUAUAUCGGCCACCUGUCGGCCGUGUUAGGCCUCAGCGAGGAGAGUCUCCAGCGCCGGUGCCGGCAGCGCGGUGACGCGGGGUCCCCUCGGGGCUGCCCGCUGUGCCCCGACGACUGCCCCGCGCAGAUGCAGACACGGACGCAGGCUGAGGGGCAGGGGCAGGGGCGCGGGCUGGGCCUGGUAUCCGCCGUCCGCGCCGGGGCGUCCUGGGGAUCCCCGCCUGCCUGCCCCGGAGCCCGAGCUGCACCCGAGCCGCGCGACCCGCCUGCGCUGUUCGCCGAGGCGGCGUGCCCGGAAGGGCAGGCGAUGGAGCCAAGCCCACCGUCCCCGCUCCUUCCGGGCGACGUGCUGGCUCUGUUGGAGACCUGGAUGCCCCUCUCGCCUCUGGAGUGGCUGCCUGAGGAGCCCAAGUGACAAGGGACAACUGACGCCGUCUCUGUGAGCACCGAGGCUUUUUGGCCUCAGCACCUUCGAAGUGGUUCCUUGGCAGACUGCCUUUCCUGGAAGAGGGCACGGGCGAUCCCGACGGGGGCAUUCCUGCGGGUGCCUAUUAUACUCAAGUAACCAUUUUACAGAAGGAUGAGGAUCAGCGCUCAAGCCCAGGUAGGCCUCCAGAGUCCCAGCGCUCAGCUCUUGUGGGAUUUUGCCAGCUCCAUACAUGUUGGGGCCUGAGGGAUAACAGCUCCAAGGGGUUAUUUUCUUGCAUCCUGGGGUCUUAUUCUCCAUGCACUGGAGCAUCCUGGCCUUGGAACUCCCCCACCCUCCGCCGGCAUUUUCCCAUCCGCCUUUUUUCUGGUUUCCCCACCUUGUGGCUUAGAGACAUAAAUAAUGGUGUGGCGGUCCUGAGUUUAUAUAACCAUGACCUCCUACAGGCCUAGCUGGGGUGAGAUGAGGGGUCCAUGGGGUUGCAUCGGAAUCCACACAGGCAGUUGCGUGCCUGUCUGCAUUGGCUGGAUUCACAUCAGGGAGCAAGAAACGGGAGGCUUGAGCCCAGAAAGCGUGUCCUCAUCCAGCCAGGGUGUCUGGGGAACAGUCAUGAUUAGAGGGUGCGGUGGGGAGAAGGGAUGUGUAGCUCUCUGCCAAGCGUCCUUUACCCUCUGUGGAUAGAUACCCAGUUCUCCCCUCCUCUCCUUCAAGUGUCUGAAACACAGGCUUUAGUGUCUGUUUUUAUAAGAGCUUUAUUAAGAUACAAUUCACAUACCAUAAAAUUCACUCUUUUAACAAUUGAAUGGCUUUAGUACAUCCACAGAGUUGUGCAAGCAUUGCCACUAAUUUUAGAACAUUUUCACCCCCCAAAAGAAACCGUAUACCUGUUAACAUCACUCCCCACUAUUCCCCUACUCCCAGUCCCUGGCACUCACUCUUCUAGUCUCUGUCUCUAUAGGUUUGCUUUUUCAGGACAUUUCAUAUAAAAGGAAUCGCAAAA